Molecule: transfer RNA, 98 nt
Filed under: Arthrobacter sp. Bi26
Lineage: Bacteria; Bacillati; Actinomycetota; Actinomycetes; Micrococcales; Micrococcaceae
Description: tRNA-Pro
Source: RNAcentral
UGCGCUGGCGCGGAGCCGGGACCAGUACUGGCCGGGUUCGGACCCCGGCCGGGGCGCGAGCCAGGUGCACGUCGGGUUCAUUCCCGGGAGCGCGGCCA